Molecule: ribosomal RNA, 1466 nt
Filed under: metagenome
Description: bacterial SSU rRNA
Rfam family: Bacterial small subunit ribosomal RNA
Source: RNAcentral
AUCAUGGCUCAGGACGAACGCUGGCGGCGUGCCUAACACAUGCAAGUCGAACGGACGAGGCCCCUUCGGGGACCGAGUUAGUGGCGGACGGGUGAGUAACGCGUGAGCAACCUGCCUUUCAGAGGGGGACAACAGUUGGAAACGACUGCUAAUACCGCAUGAUGCAGCGAGAUCGCAUGGUCUUGCUGUCAAAGAUUUAUCGCUGAAAGAUGGGCUCGCGUCUGAUUAGCUAGUUGGAGGGGUAACGGCCCACCAAGGCGACGAUCAGUAGCCGGACUGAGAGGUUGAACGGCCACAUUGGGACUGAGAUACGGCCCAGACUCCUACGGGAGGCAGCAGUGGGGAAUAUUGGGCAAUGGGGGAAACCCUGACCCAGCAACGCCGCGUGAAGGAAGAAGGCUUUCGGGUUGUAAACUUCUUUUACCAGGGACGAAGAACGUGACGGUACCUGGAGAAAAAACCACGGCUAACUACGUGCCAGCAGCCGCGGUAAUACGUAGGUGGCAAGCGUUGUCCGGAUUUACUGGGUGUAAAGGGCGUGUAGGCGGAGCUGCAAGUCAGAUGUGAAGUCUGGGGGCUUAACCCUCAAACUGCAUUUGAAACUGUAGCCCUUGGGUAUCGGAGAGGCAGGCGGAAUUCCUAGUGUAGCGGUGAAAUGCGUAGAUAUUAGGAAGAACACCAGUGGCGAAGGCGGCCUGCUGGACGACAACUGACGCUGAGGCGCGAAAGCGUGGGGAGCAAACAGGAUUAGAUACCCUGGUAGUCCACGCUGUAAACGAUGAAUACUAGGUGUGGGGGGACUGACCCCCUCCGUGCCGGAGUUAACACAAUAAGUAUUCCACCUGGGGAGUACGACCGCAAGGUUGAAACUCAAAGGAAUUGACGGGGGCCCGCACAAGCAGUGGAUUAUGUGGUUUAAUUCGACGCAACGCGAAGAACCUUACCGGGAUUUGACAUCCUACUAACGAAGCAGAGAUGCAUUAGGUGCCCUUCGGGGAAAGUAGAGACAGGUGGUGCAUGGUUGUCGUCAGCUCGUGUCGUGAGAUGUUGGGUUAAGUCCCGCAACGAGCGCAACCCCUAUUGUUAGUUGCUACGCAAGAGCACUCUAGCGAGACUGCCGUUGACAAAACGGAGGAAGGCGGGGACGACGUCAAAUCAUCAUGCCCCUUAUGUCCCGGGCUACACACGUAAUACAAUGGCGGUCAACAAAGGGAAGCAAAGCCGCGAGGCAGAGCAAACCCCCAAAAGCCGUCUCAGUUCGGAUUGCAGGCUGCAACUCGCCUGCAUGAAGCUGGAAUUGCUAGUAAUCGUGGAUCAGAAUGCCACGGUGAAUACGUUCCCGGGCCUUGUACACACCGCCCGUCACACCAUGAGAGUCGGGAACACCCGAAGUCCGUAGUCUAACCCGCAAGGGAGGGCACGGCCGAAGGUGGGUCUGAUAAUUGGGGUGAAGUCGUAACAAGGUA